GACGAACGCUGGCGGCGUGCUUAACACAUGCAAGUCGAACGGAAAGGCCCUGCUUUUGUGGGGUGCUCGAGUGGCGAACGGGUGAGUAACACGUGAGUAACCUGCCCUUGACUUUGGGAUAACUUCAGGAAACUGGGGCUAAUACCGGAUAGGAGCUCCUGCUGCAUGGUGGGGGUUGGAAAGUUUCGGCGGUUGGGGAUGGACUCGCGGCUUAUCAGCUUGUUGGUUGGGUAGUGGCUUACCAUGGCUUUGACGGGUAGCCGGCCUGAGAGGGUGACCGGCCACAUUGGGACUGAGAUACGGCCCAGCCUCCUCCGGGAGGCAGCAGUGGAGAAUAUUGCACAAUGGGCGGAAGCCUGAUGCAGCAAAGCCGCGUGCGGGAUGACGGCCUUCGGGUUGUAACCCGCUUUCGCCUGUGACGAAGCGUGAGUGACGGUAAUGGGUAAAGAAGCACCGGCUAACUACGUG
Molecule: ribosomal RNA, 468 nt
Filed under: uncultured bacterium
Lineage: Bacteria
Description: partial 16S ribosomal RNA
Rfam family: Bacterial small subunit ribosomal RNA
Source: RNAcentral